CUUCAUUUAUGAAAGAAAUCUAUAGAGCAGAAAUUUGAGGUCAAAGACGCUAAAAUUGUUUAUAACAUUAAACAUUUCAACAUCGACGGUAAAGGAAUCUGUAAGGUAUUUAUCUUCUCAUUUUAAUUAUUUUGAUUUGGAAAUUUUUUUUGUAUCAAUUUAAAAUGUAGAUUCAAAUAUUUUUCACCUCAAACGAUAAAGUAAAACUUCUUCAAACUUAUAUAUGAUGUACAGUUCGGCGUCCGCAAAAAAGAAGCCAAGGAAAGUGUUUAUCUCUUCUUCACAAAUACGUAUUUCAUUGAAUCUCGAUAUUUAUCAUGUUUAUAAUUUUUCUAACAAUGACGUUCUACCUCCAUAAGCCUGCAAAUGUCAUGGCGGGUCACAUAUUAGGAACCUCAAGAUUUUGUUUUUAAAUGAAACUGAAUUUAACUUUGAACCUUUAGACCUUAAUGUGGACCCAUUUACAAAUUUUUUACAGUCAGCAUAUCAAAACCGUAAUAAAUAUUAUUUUGAUGAAAUCAAACAGUUUUAACUUUGACCCUUUGCACCUCGAUUUGGACCAAUUUUAAAACCGGUCCCGUAUUUCCAUGGUUAAAUUGAAAUUGAUGUUUCAAACAAAACCUGGAGAGCUUUUAUAUAUAUUUUUAAUGUUAUAUUUAACAUUGCCAUUAAAGCGCGAGGUUUGGCAUGCCACAAAACCAGGUUCAACCCACCAUUUUGUUCUUUAAAAAUGUCCUGUACCAAGUCAGGAAUAUGGCCAUUGUUAUAUUAUAGUUCGUUUCUGUGUGUGUUACAUUUUAACGUUGUGUUUCCGUUGUGUCGUUUGUUUUCUCUUAUAUUUGAGUGUGAAUUCACAUUACUAUAAGACGUGUCAUGGUACUUUUCUAUCCCAAAUUCAUGUAUUUGGUUUUGAUGUUAUAUUUGUUAUUCUCAUCGGAUUUUGUCUAAUGCUUAAUCGGUUUCUAGUCUCAGUUUUAGUUUGUUACCCCGAUUUUGUUUUUUGUCUAUCGAUUUACGAGUUUUGAACAGCGGUAUACUACUGUUGCCUUUAUUUAUGUGAACAAUUUACUCUAUCCCAUAGCUCAGUGGGAGAUGAUUUUUUUGAAUAUCGCCCUCCCGUUUGGACCAAUAAAAAAUCGAUAACUCAAGAGACAAUGUAUUCCAUUAACAUCGUGGAUUUAAAUACAAAGGUUUACGUUUGUAUAAAUUGAUUGUUACUUGAUUAAAAAACUAAACUUUUUUGCUUUACUUUUGUUACUUUUGUACAACCGUUAUGUUUUUGGUAAACGACUUCAAAGAUCAUUACUUUUAAAUUUAGUUUAAAAGACAAUUAGGUAAGGAAAUUCCCCCCCCCCUUCCCCAAAAGUGAUUCCCCCCCCCCCCGACAUUGUUUUUCAAUUCAUUUUACAAUUCAAAUGGACAUACUACUGCUUAUAUCAUAAAUCACCCAAAGUGCAUUAUAUAAUUUCAGCUUACAAAAUUAUCAGUUUUUACUGCAAGCAUAUUAAAAUUGGUCGUCUUUCUAAACAUUUAUGUUUAAUUAUAUUUGGAUGUGCACAAAUAUUUGUUUGCUUUUAAUUCAAAAUGUUUCUGAUAAAAGAUUUACAAGCACAUGUAUGGGAGUUUUUUUUUUAAAUUUGACACACUUUUUUAUCUCUAUUGAAUAUAAUCCAUCUUGUGUUUAGGUUGUAAGAUUAACAAUAUUCUUUGUAUAUAUAUAAGUAUGAUUGUUAUGCUUAAUUGAUCGAAGUACUUGUGUUCAAUAUCACACCGACAGUAACAGUUAUGUAGAUGCUGUAUCAAAGACAAUAGUAGAGUGGUGUCAAAUGAUAUGUUUUUUAAACAAAGAAAACUCAAAACAUAGGAAAUAAAGAUUAAUUAAAACAUUUGGCAUAAAUUAUAUACUAGUAAAGUCUGAGAGUCAAGCUCAACAAAGUCGUCUCUGCAAUGAUCGCCUGAUGUUGUUUAUUAUUAAGGUAAUUAUUUUUGCGUCCUAUUAAUUAUUAUCAGAAAGAGGGUUAAUAUACAGCAAGGAAAAAACAGUCCAUUAUAUAAAGAAAAGUCUAGCAUUAGUGUAUAAUGUUACUUUGUUGCGACAUCUGCAAGUAACAUUUAAUUGGUGCUGUAUCUUAUCGUUAAUGGGAAUUAUAAAUUUAACGUUGAUUUUGUCGUGAAAAAAACGUCUAUGAAUUCCAAUUAAACUUUUUUUAUGUUACCCGUAAAAUGAAAUUGAUAUAAAUUUUAUGAUCUUGCAACAUAGUUGAAAAUUGGAGAUUUAUGGAUACAAUACACAAUGUACAUGUACUAAUGUCAGGCGCGGAUCAUGGGGGCGAGGUCCGAGAGUUAGAAUCCCCCUUUUUUUUGGACGAUCAAUGCAUUUGAAUGGGGACAUGUAGUUAGAACUCCCCCUUUGACCUUGGUUAGGACCCCCCUUUUUAAAAUGGCCGGAUUUGCCCCUGAAUGCAUAUCUUCAAUUAUGAAAUAUGCAACUCUACAAAGACCAGGAUUUGGAUUGGAUUGCAUUAAACUUUCAGAAAUCUUUAAUAUCUUGAUUACUAUGUCAUGUUGCCUUUGCAUUGUGAACCUAUUUUUUCUUAAUAUGGCAGAGUUGAGAACAAGUGAAAUACAUACAUUGUUUUUACUGUAUUUUUAUACGCCCGUCAAAAGUUUGACAGGACGUAUUAUGGUAUACAAAUGUUCGGUGUCCGUCUGUCUGUCUGUCUGUCCGUCUGUCCGUCUGUCUGUCCGGCGUAAACAUGUCGCACCGUAACUUGAGAACGACUUAUCUAAAUUUCAUGAAACUUAAUAUAGUUGUUUUUUAUGAUGGUCAAAUGAUCUGUAUACUUUUUGGUGAAAAUAAGAUUUAAACUUUUUGAGUCACGGCACUUUGUAACUAAAACAGGGAUGUGUUUUUUUUUCACAUGUCGCACCGUAUCUCAAAAACGAUUCUUGAUUAUUGCUUAAAACUUUACACACUUCUUAGUUAUAUUAAUCUUAAUAUCUGUAUACUUUUUGGUGAUGAUUCAAAAUUUCAUUUCUGAGUUAUUGAGUAUUUUGUAAAAAGGGGGAGGUUUUUUUUUCAUGUCACCGUAUCUCAAAAACGAUUUAUGAUUAUUGCUUAAAACUUUACACACUUCUUUGUUAUAUUGAUCUAAAGAUCUGUAUACUUUAUGGUGAUGACUCAAAAUUUUAUUUUAGUUAUUGAGUAUUUUGUAAAAAAUGGGAGGUUUUUUUUACAUGUCGCGCCGUAUCUCAAAAACAAUUGAUGAUUAUUGCUUGAAACUGUAUACACUUCUUUGCUAUAUUAAUCUAAAGAUCUGUAUACUUUUUGGUUUGAUUCUAAAUUUUAUUUUAGUGAUAUUUGUAAAAAAAAACAGGGUUUCUGGGGGGGGGGGGGGGGUUUCACAUGUCCCGCCGUGUCUCAAAAACAGUAAAUGGUUAUUGCUUAAACUUUCUCAGAAACUAUUGAUGAUUAUUGCAUAAGACUUUCACACAAGACAUCGGGCGUAUCAUGCGCUCAUGGCGCAGCUGUUUAUUGUUUGUUAUAUAUCAAAGUGGACAUCACUGAUCACUAUAUUACUCUUUAUAAUUACGGUUGCCAGACUCACUUUUAGGAAUCUUGGAAUUGCAUUUGUAUUUCACUUUUUUUCCUCAUCUUAAUUAAGCCAAUAUAUAUACAAAAAAUUGUUUUGGGAAACACAUGGAAAAGGUAUGAACACAUAUAUAUAUAUACUAGUUCAGUGAUAAUGAAAGUCAUACUAAACUCCAUAUUCUAUAUUAAAUUUUGUUUGUUUAACUGAAUUUAAAAAAUCUUAUUAAUACAUGGAAUAUUUAUUACAAUCUGUUUUAAAGUACCUUCCACCAAUCAUCCAGUGUCAUUUAAAGUUACUAGAGCAGUAAUUUAAAUUAUUAAGAAAGUGAUACAUUGUACAGAUGGUAAUUAACGAAUAGAAAAUAUUUUUUAAAAGAUAUUCUUAUAUCAAACGACUUAGUUGACAUAACAAAUAGAUAACUGUUAGAAGAUUGUGCCACUUUUGUUCUCUUGUUCACAUUUUUUAAAGCCUUUUUUUUCAACUGCACUAAUCCUUUUGAUUUCUAUACACACAUUAUGUAAAAGUACAUUAGAUUACAACUAGGCUGAAAAAGUUCGAUUUCAUUGAUAUGAAACUUUGACCAUUAUAUAUAUAUAGCAUUUGUAACUCUAUUUCAUAUAUGUAUAAGGUGAAUCAAUGUGCUUGUAACUUUGGAUAGAGUCUCAUGAAAUGGUAAAAAUCACUGUAUCCUGGUACACAUGUACACAGGGUUGUCAAUAAAUGCAAACUUAAAAUUAGCAGACCUUAAAAUACUAAUACAUCCAUGACAUAUUACAACAACACUUUAAAGAGUCAAAUUUAUUUUUGAAAACUUGGAUCAGAUAAAUAUAGAAAAAUAGAUUUACUUUUUAUCAAAUCUAUUCAUAACUGCUGACUCUCUACUUACGUAAAACAAAAUUUAACAGUUUCAACUUUUGACGCAACAUGCUUGUUGAGUAUUAAGGCGUUUAUAAAUAUGACAUUUGAUUCCUAUGAUUUUUAUUCCUACAAUUAUUUUAAACAUGAUCAUACAAUAUGGCAAGCCAAAGUGGACAAAAAGAGCUAUUUUUUAAUGUUAAAAAAUCAUUUUCUAAUAUUAAAAUAUCAGUUUCUAAUAUUAGAAAAACUUUUCUUAUAUUAAAAAUACAUUUUCUAAUAUUAAAAAAUAAGAUACUUUUUAAUAUUAGAAAAGGUUUUUUUAAUAUUAGAAAAUCAUUUCCUAAGAUUAAAAAAUCAUUUCCUAAUAUUAGAAAAUCAUUUUUUAUUAUUAAUAAAUAGUGUUUUUCUUUUUUAAUAUUAGAAAAUCAUUUUUUAAUAUUAGAAAAUCAAUUUUUAAUAUUAGAAAAUCAUUUUUUGAUAUUAAAAAAUGAUUUUUUAAUAUAAAAAAUGAUUUUCUAAUAUGUGACUAGCCACGACAUAUCAAGGCUUAUGGAGGUAGAACGUCAUUGUGAGAAAAACGCCGUUAACUAUAUGUGACUAGCCAUUUCCAGGCUUAGGAGGGUACAUUGUCUAAAAUUUGAUUUUUGUAUAUUUAUCUAGAAUAUUCCGAAACAAAACUCUCUGUCAUGUUAUUAUGAUAUAUGUGUUGUUAUAGCAAUGAAACGAGUCAUUUCGAAUACCGGUAUGAAAAUGGGACUGUUCUAUAACGACUUUUAUUAAUUGAAUGCCCUUAUUUAUAAAACACAAAAUUAUUGUAUUUAUUGGCUUUUAAUGAUGUUCAAUAGCGUAUUUGAAUAAAAUUUUAAAGACUUAAAUUUACUACAAUGCAAGCUCUAUUUUAGAACAUGUAAUUUAAACUUGUUGAAAUGAAGUUAGAAUAACAUCUGUCAAAGUAAGCAUUACGAAUUCCUUUUUUCAAUUUAGAUUUAUUAUGCAUGUCUUUAUACAUAGUAUGCGACGCGUAACAGUUUAUAAGUAGGUGUUAUCUUAAAUGCAUUUGAUACGGUGCAUUAAUUAUGGAUAUAUUCAGACUUCAUUUAUGAAAGGAAAUCUAUAGGGCAGAAAUUUAAUUUUUUUGUAUCAAUUUAAAAUGUAGAUUCAAAUAUUUUUCACUUCAAACAAUAAAGUAAAACUUCUUCAAAACUUAUAGAUGGUGUAUAGUUCGGCGUCCGCAAAAUGAAGUCAAGGAAAGUGUUUAUCUCUUCUUCACAAAUACGUAUUUCAUUGAAUCUCGAUAUUUAUCAUGUUUAUAAUUUUUCUAACAAUUACGUUCUACCUCCAUAAGCAUGCAAAUGUCAUGCGGGUCACAUAUUAGUAAAUGAUUUUCUAAUAUAAAAAAAAUCAUUUUCUAAUAUUAAAAAGUAUCUAACUAUCACUGUAUCACCCUCUGCAUGAUUCUUAGGUGGAGCCAUACUUAAUUAAAGUACUUGUAAUAGACACGCCGAAUAUAUCUCAGUUUGAACUUACGUUGUAACUUGAAUAUUUGUUUUCAAAUCAUUGAGUUAGAAAUUUACAUCGUGUUUUCGAAAUUCUGGAUUCCCUGUUAUGAACAUCUAAACGAAUGACCCUGAUAACGAAAAACAACCGGAUGACGACAAUCAAUGUGCAGUGUGCACUGUACGACAAAUAGUGAUGACAUUUCCUUUGAUAAUAUUCUGGCUUUCAAACCGGCCAUACCAAAGUUUGAAAUCAACGAUCAUGGAAGUAAAACGAAACUCUCGUGUUACAAACAAAACAAGAGGAGUAUUAUGAUGCAAAUGAAUAACAAAGUGAAAGUGAAAUUGACAAGUCGGUGACUUAUGCUACAUAGGUCUAUUUGACAUACGAGGACAUGUUAAAACGUGGUUAAAUUCUUUUUUUUUUUAAUUCUAGAAACAACCAGUUUCUAAAUAUUUUGCAACCAAUCAAUAUGAAGAUUUAAAAAAACGAUCCAACGAAGUUAGUACGUUAUUGCGUUUUGUAUUUUAAUUUAUCGCUCUAUACAUUGUUUUGUAAUAUAUAAUCUGACAGACCUUUUACAUGCAAUAUAUCGGACGUCACAAGUCAUUUACUUCCGGUCACAACGGAAACCUGAAUAAACCGACUCACUGUCCAAAUCGGCCGUUUUUUAUAGUCCCGUGGCCGGUCGGUUUAUACAGGUUUUACUGUAUAUUGAUUUGUUAUGUGUGUACACAAUAUUUGUCGUAUGUAUAUAUGGAGUUAUGAUGUAUAAAGAGAGAGCAAAAAAACUAUAACUAAUGUACACGACGUUUUAUUACACUUCUGCAGAUAAAUUGUGAUUAAAGAUGCCAUGAAUAAUGAGUACAUUUACUGUCUUUAUGUGGACUAUUAUCUAAAAAAACAUAUAAAAUAUAUAAAACAGUGCGUUUGCGCUCCGUUACACUCUUAUUAUAAGCCAAGAUUGAUACCAUGACGUAGCAGCCUGAGUACAUAGAUUGACUAUCCCCAAGAUGAUAAAACCAUGCAACAUUUAUUAAAUGCUAAAAUCUCAAUUUCACAAGGGCGAACAAUGUUGAACCAUAUAGUUCCUUCCCAUUGAUGUUACGUUGUCAAAAAGUAUUUGAGUAAUUUUGGUAUCAAAUAAAAGCUUAAGAACUUGGGAUAGCUGUUGAACCAUUUUUAAAAGUUUGCUAUGAAUGAUAAAAAAAUUAAUUGGAUGAUAAGAGGAUAUAUCAGCCUUGUUACUUAGAUCAGAAGUACCUAUUUUGUACUACCCAAUUUUUCUGGAACCAGUGAGCUGUUAUAUGCAAUAAAGGCAUGUUGGUUUGUUUAGCACAAGUCACGAUGCAGUUGUCAAUGUAUAUUGCAUAUGUUACUACCUGUUCAAUUUGAGCUUAAAUUCAUUGACAUAGUGUGUGGAUUAAAGCUUCAAGUGUUUUCUUAAAUAGUAAUAGAUCAUAGAAUAAAAUUAAGUAAAGUAGGAGUCUAUAUAGCAAGUUUGGUGCUGUAUUACUAAACAUUAUGUGCAAUUCCAUUCUUAAAACUAUUACAAUGAAAAUUUGUCACACACAAUUUAAUCAUUUCACAUCAUUUUUUUCAGUAACAAAUCCUUUAUGUUGACCCAAAGGUGUCAUAUCUAAAAUAUGUGUGUUAUUUAUGUGAAAGUAAAUGUCCCUUCUUAAUGCCGGUAGUCGUGAAGCUGUUCCCGAUGUUGUAGCCGUACUGUUACUGUGUGCUCUUGUCGAGAGCUAUUUGCAUUGCACAUAAGAAAUUAUCAAAAAGAAAAAAAUCUAAUUUUACGUCAACUGAUUUAGGACCUUUUUACGUUUUCCACGUUACGACUGGAAGACAAUAACAAUCAAAACCAAGGAGUAAACAAAGACUCAUCAAACCAAAAGACAUUUACAUCAACAGUUACAACUAAUAAAUAAGAAACAACACGAACUCCACUGAAAACCGGGAGUUAAAUCAGGUGCUCAGGAAGAGUAAGCAUUUCCUCCACCGAGUACGGCACCCGUCGUGUUAUUUCUUUUUUCAGUUCGUACGUUAUGAUGGAAGGUCAUUAUGACUGAGGAAGAAUAUCAGAUAUGAUUUCUGACACACUUUUGUCAUUUUUUGGAAAUUAUUAUAAUAUGGUAAAUUUUUAUACCCGUGUUAGUUUUUCUGUAAGGUAGUGGGGUAGGGUGUUCGGCCCCAACUUUGCACUUUCUUUGAAAAAAAAAAACUAAGCCGAAGAACAUCCUGGAUUUCUUCUGCAGUAUACCUCAGCUACCAAGCUUCCAUUUGCACCUAGUGUAGACACAAAUACUGCCGUAGAACAUUUUUUAUUAACUUUUUUGUAUUAAGACUGUAAGGUAAGAAGACUGUCCGACUCAAUCUUAGAACCUAUUUAAAAAAAAACAAGAAAAUAAGCCGUAGAACACACUGUGUUUUUUCAAAAGUAGACCACAGCUACCCAGAGUUCCUUUGCGCCUAUUGUGGACAAUGAUUUGACAUAGAACAUUUUUUUAUUUUUUGUUCACUAAGAUAGUGGGGUAGGGUGUCCGGCCCAAACUUUGCACUUUCUUUGAAAAAAAAACUAAGACGAAGAACACCCUGGAUUUCUUCUCCAAUAUACCUCAGCUACAAAGUUUCCAUUUGCACCUAGUGCAGACACAAAUACUGCCGUAGAACAUUUUUUAUUAACUUUUCUGUGAGGAGGACUUUAUGGGUAGAAGACUGUCCGACUUUAUCUUUAAACCUUCUUAAAAUACAAUAAACUAAGCCGUAGAUUACACUGAGUUUUUUCACAAGUAGACCACAGCUACCCAGCGUUCCUUUGCGCCUAUUGUGGAGAAUGAUUUGAUAUAGAACAUUUUUCCAUUAAUUUUUCUGUAAUGUAGUAGGGUAGGGUGUCCGGCCCACACUUUGUUUGUUUGUUGACAAUGUUUAAGUACAAUUAUUAUUUAGAUUCAUCCAAACCUAUCUAAAUAUGUUAUUGUAAAUAGUUUAAGCAUAUCACACUGCGUCUCGGAAUGAUUGAACUAUAACAUAAUGUUGAUCACCAUGUCUAGUUGGCAUCUGACUUUGGAAUUAAAAACAUGGCUGCCAUUGCCAGAAACAGCAAAGUUGAAAAUUCAAUGGAACAUUCCAGAACAUUAGUGUUAAAUUAAUUCUACAGCCCUUAAAUGUUAUAUGAUGGUAUAAUAUUAUCGGGAGCACAAUAUGAAGCAGCAGUAUGACUUUGGAAUUUUCAAAUGUUGCCAUGGAAACUGUUCAAAAAUAGCAAAAUUUUGAAAAUUCUUCAAAAAUGUAUGAAACGUUAUAAGAAUGUUAACUUGUAAUUCUAGAUGCGGCAUUCAACUUUGAAAUUUCCAAAAUGGCUGCCGUUACCAUUGCUGCUGUUUAGUGGAAAUUGGUGGACCAGGGUGACAUCCGCUAUUGCUUGCAAUGGCAAUUCUAGUCUUAUUUUUCUUUUUCUUCUUCCACACAUUUUGUCCGUCGUGUUUCUAUCCAAAUGACAUUGUUGAUGGAACUUUACAUAAGAGGACCCCCAUGUUAAAGUUGUGCACCUUGGUAUGGAAGGUAAAAGAUGGCCGCCGUUUCCAUGGAAACAGCAUAAAUGCGAAAAAAAUCAAAGUUUCCAAACUGAAGAAACUCCACAGGAAUGUUAUGGCAUUGCUGAUUUCCAGUUUGACUUUGGAAUUUUCAAAUGGCUGCCGUUACCAUGGAAACAGCUAAAAUCAAAAAUUCUAACUUUUCGUUAUAAGAUCAACUGGAUGAAACUUUAUGAAAAUGUUCUCCAGUAUGCCAAGAUGUCAAGACAAUAUUUGGAUAGUUCAAAAUGGACGCCGUUGUCAUGGAAACUGGGGCCAAGUUUUGCAUUGACCCUAUGGAAAAAUGCAUAAAUCAGCAUUUUCCAGAGAGUAUUGCACCAAAGUAAAUGAAACUGUAUUGAUAUAUAACAUGACAUGUGGCAGUGAGAUGUACGCUUUUAGAAUUUUGGAAUUAUCUACUGUAACCAUGGUUGCAGCACAAAUGUUCAAAAUUUCAAAAAAAAAUAAAGUGCUGCAAGCUGGAUGAAACUUAACAGGAAUAGUGACUGACAUGUGCGGAGUUGCAUUUUGAAGUUGGAAAUUUCAAAAUGGCCGCCGUAACCAUGGAAACAGCAAAAAUAUCAAAAAUUUCAAAAUGCUUCAAACUUAAUGAAACUUUGCAAAAAUGCUAUAGACAUAAAUGCAUUUUCGAUUUGGAAUUUUCAAAUGCUGCCGCUCACCUGGCAAUGUAUUCAGUUUGCUCCGAUCUCGUACGUCAAUCUAAUUGUGCGUUUAUUUAUGGGAACGGCAAAUAAUGCCUUCACCUAUCUAGAGCGUUUCGAUCCAAAAACAAGUGCCGUAUUUGUCCUACUAGAAUCGGAAUAAUUCAUGGGGCUUGAAUAUAUCGUGAUUUUACCAUGGGUUGUCCCUUUAUGCCGAUAUUUUACCCCUCGCUAUCGCUCAGGGUAAAAUAUUUGUUAUAAAGGGCCAGCCCGUGGUAAAAUCCCCGAUGUGCUUGAGGACAGGAUCCUGUGAUAAACAUUAAAAAAAUCUGAGAUUUAUGAUAAUAAGGGGAGUGAUAUUUGUUCUGCACUUGCAGCCAGGUCCAGAUCGCCGUGUACAGUGAUCAGACUACAAGUACAGAAUCACUUAAAUGGCAAUUCUAACAUGACGUCCUUCAAACGCUUUGAGUAAAAAUAUAGGGUUAUUGCAUGAAUAUUGGGGAAUAUUGUCCCGAGAAGAACUUUAUAUUGCACAAGCUCAGGAAUGAUUUCACUAGUGAUUUUGAACAAAUAAUUAUUACACUUGAUGAAGUGUUUUAUUUAGUAUACUCACUUUUAACACAUGAUAACACAAUAUAAUAUACUUUAUUUACGAAUUUUAAAAUUUUGAUAUUUUUUUCUAAUCAAAUCGUAUGCUUUUAAAUUGUCACUAAUUGUUAUAUUCAUAUUUACUGGAUUGCCGAAGUUUUUCUGUGCAUUUGUGUUUUGGUACACUUCGAUAUAAAAUCUUCUUUAUUGAGGGCACAUGACGUUUGCGAUGUUUUACCUGUAAAACGAUAGUACAUUUUGUGCUUCAAAUACUAUGGACAUUUGCGCUUUAAAUUUUGAUUCACCUGUACUAAAUUGACCGGACAUUUGCGCUUUUGCACCUAUAGUCGUCUACCUGUAAUUUUAAUGAGAAGAAAUUAUUACGUAAAUAAUUUAACUUAUAUUUGUCAUUAGUACGACAAAUGGUCCAGAACCCUUCCCUGCCCACUAUAAUGGACAUCCUACUCGACUAAUCCUGCUAUUUUUUCUUUUCUUUUUGAAUAGUAUCAUUAAACAACAGUGUGUGAAUUACAUUAGAUUCGUUAUAUUGAUGAACAGGCACCCCUGUCAAGAUUUUAGAAAGAGAAACUUGAAUAUAUAUUUGAAAUGUGGGCGAAAUAUCAGUCAGAACAGAUAACAAGAGAUAAAUUUGUUCACUCCUUGGGCUUCAGAUGUCAAGCGAAAACUGACCUGUGGUGACUGAAUGGGUUUUUAUGUCUUUAGAAUUUUUACUUGUCGCUCAGUGUAUGAAGACUUUUAAACAGAUAUCAAUGUGCUAUGACAUGAAUGCUCUAUGAAAUGUGCUUUUAAAUGAUUUUUUUCAAACUUUUAACCAUAAAGAAACAAUAUUAAUUUAACUUUGCCAAGUCACACAUGCCGGUCCCCACCCGGAUUAAAGAGGAGGAUAGUCAUAAAAACCAAAUAUUGCAAAAGCGAAAUGUCUGAUGUUAAAAGCGCUAAUGUCCUUUUGUUAACAGCGAAAAUGUCCUAUGAUUUGAAGCGCAAGUGUUCAAAAAAUUAAUAUAGGCGCAAAUGUCCUAUGAAAAAGCGCAAACGUCCCGCGCCGAUGUCAAUAUCUAUUAAUCAAACUGGUUCCUUGAAAACUAUUUUACUUUUAAUCUAUUAAUUUAUGUAAACAAGAAAACUGGUCUUAUAUAAGGGAAUGGUCAUUAUUUAUCAGCUGAGGGGGUCGGUUCAAAUUUUAAUAUAAAAUUUUAUGUUGGGAACCCCCCCCCAUUAUUUUAUAAAACCACACUAUGACCCCCCCCCUAAGAACAUAAUUUCAAAAGUUUGACCCCCCUCCAAAAAAAAGAUCUCCAGUUGUGUUAAGGUUAUGAUUACCAGCUACAUAGUAACAGGCUUUGAGAAACUCUGAGUAUAACAAACAGCUUUUCUUCUUGUUUCUUGUUUCUCAAAAAGGAAUAUUUGACACGUGCAUGUAGAAAAAUAGAAAAAAAAUAUACAGAAAAUUGUAUGUUCCAAUUUAUUAAUUUAUUUUGCUGCAACCUAUAAUUCUACAAAUUUUAUCAGUAUACCAGUAGAUAAACUUUCAAUACUGACUGUUAUUUUAAUCCCAAUCACAGGCCCUUGUAUCUUAUUUUUUUUAACCUUUGUGCCUUAAAAUAUCUAGUUAUGAAUGGGGGCGGGGGGUCAGGAUUCCAAUGUACAAUGAUUUAGGAAGUGCAAAUAAAAUAACACUGAUUAUAUGGUUCUUGUCCUUUCUUGAUUAAAUAUGUACAUGAUUUAUUUGAGAUAAAGAAAUAUACAAACAAGCCAGGAAUCUCUGGCCUUUCUUUGUUUUGUACAGAUGUAUUUUUUAAGAGUUAAGUGUGUUAUCAAUUUUCUCUGAACAAGUACACAUUUUUGUUUAGGGGCCUAAGCUGAAUAUAUUUGUUCUUUUUUCCAAAUCAUAUAGUGUUUUUGUUUAGUGUGUGUGAAUGCCAUGGUGCCCAUCAAGUAUUUUUUUUAGUAAGAUCUGAAAUUUGGAUAGGAAAGAAUAUCGGAGAAUGGGUAAAAUUUACAGAAAAAUGGACCAAAAAAAAAAAAAAAAACAGAGGACACUGGUGUUCAAAUAUAAAGAAAAGGAGAAAAGAGCAAAAAAUACGUAAGAAUAGAGAAAUAUUACCUUAAAAAUUAAAGAAUACAGAAGGGAAAUACCUUAUAUCGAGAUCAUCUUUUAUUCUUAUUCAAUAUCUUUGUAAUAAUUUCAUAAAAUAAGUAUACCUAUUUUUGUAACCACGUGACAGACAUAUAACUAACAUAUGCAUCCUUGCUUUCAUCAAAAUAAUUAAAUAUACACACCCAUUUCAUCUCAAGAAUCACAUCAAAAUGAUUUAAACACUAUCAUGACUAUAGAAAGUUAAUUGUGCAUGUCCAGAAACCUUGAAGUUUAUAACUCACUAUUUCCUGUGGUCAAAACUAGGGAGAAAUGUUUCAUACAGUUUUUAAUCUAUUGAUUGUAAAUUUACACAACUGUGAUAAGGAGUGAUACGAUGCUUUUUGUCUGCAAUUUGCUUUUUGUCCGCUUUUGCUUUUUGUCCGAUAAUUUUGCUUUUUGUCCGACACUUUUGCUUUUUGUCCGUUGCUUUUUGUCCGUUUUGCUUUUUGUCCGAUAAUUUUGCUUUUUGUCCGACACUUUUGCUUUUUGUCCGUUGCUUUUUUGUCCGUUUUGCUUUUUGUCCGAUAAUUUUGCUUUUUGUCCGACACUUUUGCUUUUUGUGCGUUGCUUUUGGUCCGUUUUGUUUUUUGUCCGGUAACGUUGCUUUAUGUCCGAUAUAAAAAACGUGUAUAUUUUGGCAGGUUUUAUUUUGAACAUCGAAAUAUCAUUAUUAGGGUAUUUUAUUAAAAAAAAUAUGUCUACCAACCAAUUAACGCGUGCAAGAUGGCCAACAUGACUGAAAUAGAACAUACGGGGUAAAAUUAAAGUUUUGUCUAUUAAUUUGAAAACCACUAUAAAAGAGAGAAAAUCUGACAACAGAAGGAUGUUGAGCUCUUCCAAUUGUUAAAACUUUCAGAUGACGUCCAAAAUUGGUUCGCCCCACCUAAUGUUAUGAAACCUAAACGCAAUGCUUAUUACCACAUAUCCCAGAUCAAGUUUGAAUUUUGAUACGUCAUAUUUACUGCUCUAGAGUUUGAAAAUGGAAAAACUGCUAAACUUUUUAUUUCCGUUCUUUAACUGCAGUGUGCCUUUAAACAAUGGUAUAAAGCUUAUAUAUAUAUGCAAUAAGUAAACCACAACACACAGGUCAAGUAUGAAAUUUGGUGGCCUCACUUUUCCUCUUAUGCCCUAUAUAAAUGGGGAAAAUAUUGACGUUUGUGUUUCUUAACUUUAUAUAAAAAAGAAGAUGUGAUAUGAUUGCCAAUGAGACACCUCUCCACAUGAGACUGAAUAACACAGAAAUUCACUACAAUAGGUCACCGUACGGCCUUUAACAAUGAGCAAAACCCAUAACGCAAAGUCAGCUUUAAAGGGUCUCGAUAUGACAAUGUAAAACAAUUCAAAAGAGAAAACAAACGGCCUCAAGCACAUUUUAUGAAACUUCUACACAAUGCUUAUUACAACAGAAGUUAGAUCAAGUACAAAUGUGGGUAGUGUCACUUUUGUCGUUAUCAAGCUAUGUCCCUUUCUGAAGUUAUAUCAAGUGGGUGCAUUAUCUGUACACCAUGGACUCAUUUCCCAUUUUAAUAAAGGAUUAAUUGCCCUAAAAUGACAAUCUUUUUUGCCUACUAUCUUGAAAAUUAUAAUAGACACCGAAAAACUUUAUAGUGACCAGCAAGACCAGUUCUACAAAUGAGACAACAUGAUCGAAAUCGUUAAUCGACUCCUGAUUACAGAUAAUGUUCAUUGAUGAUGAUUUUGACCAUAUUUUUUUUUUGGGAGGGGGGGGGGGCGUUUCUUUGCCUUAUAUCUUAAGUCUUCAACAAAGAAAAUAUGACGGCGACUACUUAAAUUGAAGUUAUUGUCCUUUAAAUGUAGUGUCUUGCGCAUUCAUGGAUUGUAAUACAAAAAAAAACCUUAGGUCUAAUUUUAAUCAUUUACAGAAAUGCAGAUUACUAAUGUGAAUUUUCAUUUAAAAGAACAUUUUUUUUUAGAAUUGAAUUGAUAAAUAUUAACAUUUUUACAAGUGUAGAUUUUAUUUGUUUGAUUUUUAAUGUUUUUAAGUUGGCAUUUUUAAGGGAGAUAGUGCAUUUUAUGAAAGAAUCUGCAUGAACUUUUGCUAUCUUUAGGUCUAAUUUUAAUCAUUUACAGAAAUGCAGAUUACUAAUGUGAAUUUUCAUUUAAAAGAACAUUUUUUUUUAGAAUUGAAUUGAUAAAUAUUAACAGUUUAAAAUUUAGAAGGAAAAAACGCACGGUGACCCUAUUGUAUCCAUUGAUAUUCUCAAAGCAUUUUUUUAAAGCUAUCUUCUUGAAUUUUGUUUUCAAUUUUAUAUUCUAUAAUUUAGAUUAGCUUCUGAUCACAGAAUGCUGUUUUCCCCCGUAUAAUCUAUACAAAUUUCGCGCUUAAGUAAGUCCAUUAUUAAUUUUGCAUUAUUCAAAAUUAAAUUAUGAAUAAUGAAAAAGUUCAUUAUUCACUAUUCAACGUUACGUGAUAAAUAAUGAAUAAUGAAAUAGUUUAUAUCUCAGUAUUCAAGUUGAAAAUCAAAGUGAAUAAUGAAAUAGAAUAAUAUUUUUUGACUGUGACACUAUAUCCCGUAUUUCAUAAUUCUUCAUUUUCGUAUAAUCUAACAAAUUUUCAAAUUAAGUUAUAGUUAUUGACCAAGCAAGUCGGUAUAUAGAAUUUAAUCUGCACAGCUCAGGUGACCCUUAUUAACCCGAACGACGUAGAAGUUCGGGUUAAAGGGUCAUCCUGAGCGCGUGCAGAUUAAAUUCUAUAUACCGAUUUGAUUGGCCAAUAACUGUUUUAACACAUGACGUCAUUAAUUUACGUGAACGUUUUAGAUGUGGACGAUGUUCCGCAAUCCACGGAUCCUAGGAAAGUUUAUUGUAGGGUAAAGAAAGGGGGAAAUACGACUUUCAUUGGUAAGUUUCAAAUUGAUAAUUUUUUUUGGGGUUUAGACUUAUUGAAAAAUUGCGAUUUAAUGGUAGAUUUUUUGUUAAUGUUUCUGUUAAAUCUAUUCCCAUUUUUAUUUAAUAAGUGACGUUUAAGACUUUGACAAAUUGAGUACUUUCAAAUCGUUGUAUGAAAAAAAAAUCAUAACCGGAAGGGUUAUUGUGUUUAGAUUAAUUGCUUUUGAAUUUCUUUCCAUCAAUGAUAUGCUUUAAUAGAGAAAGAUAAACCGAGGAAGAAGUUAGUUAUAUUACCUAAAUUUUUAAUGUUGAAUAAACGGAAAAUACGUUUCUCUUUCCAAUGUUUUACUCCCCCUUCCCCAAAUUUCUUUGUAUCUACUGUAUUAGUUUUUAAGACACGUCCAUCUAAAUGAAGUCUGAUUGAUCUCCAGCUAAUCUCCCUGUUUUCAAACAAACUUAAAUAUGAUCCCCUUUAAAUUCGAUCCAAAAAUAUGGGGAAUAGAUAUUCAAAAAGUCGUUAUAAAUUCCAUUGAGUCUAAAACUAAUCCAAAUCAAAUUUCUUUUUUUCGGAUAUUCUUAGAUACAUUUCUUUUUUGGCGGAAAUUACCAAAAAUGUUUUAAACUAUCUUUCUGACUUUAAAACACUGAUUUAAGAUUUAUGUUGUACGCAAAAUAUAAUAAAACAUUUUAUGUUCAAGCUAAGAUGUAAAAAAAAGAAUGAGAAACCUUUCUUUUUUCCUAUUUUGAAACUACGAUGUUUGUACAAAGUUCAACUGUGUCGUAAUUUCAAGGCAGAUGGCGGAUUCGGGGUGGGGACGGACAUGUCGUUGACCCUAGGAUUGGACAAAGUAUCGUGUUUUGCCUUAAAAUCGUCAAUAUUGUUUUUAGUCUCGCUACACGCGGUGAUCAUUUUUUUAAUUUGAUAGAAUAGCGCCCCUUUCAAAAUCUAGGAACCGCCCCUAAAGGUAAAAAUAGAUUUGAACUGUGUAGUAUAUCUGAGGUAGUUAAUGCACACAUUUGCUGUGCAUUAUCCAGAUUAUAGCACAGUAAAAACAAAGAGAUUUUACCCAUGUCAUGUGUUAAUGUAUAAUUUUGUAAGAAAAAAAUCAAAACACUAUGUGAUAUAAUGAUCUUAAUUUAUUUAUUUAGUUUCGAAGGAUGAACUUGUUGGUUUUCCUAACUAUUUUUAACAGAAAUUCCUUGGUUUAAUGUAUGGGCCACCUGAAUACCAAAACAUAAAUAAAUAUUAGAAUACUAAACAUUGUCUUUUUUAUUUUUCAAGAUCUUUGCUAUUCUUAGUCCUCUGAUCACAGAUAUAACAUGUCGAUUGUGGCGCAAUGACCAUUAGAGGGUGGACUUUUUAUUAGGGGAGGACUUAAGUGCCAAAAUACGCGUGAAGAUUAAGAAAUAGCCAAUUUUGAAUAAUGAAAUGGAUAUUUUGAAUAAUGGAAUGGACUACUGCGACCUUUCAGCCCCUAAUAACAUAUAAACCUUAUACCUCAUUCGAAAGAUUAUUGUAUUGCUACCUUAUACGUCAAUCAAAAGCGUACCAACAAAGAAACAAGAGGUUUAUAACAUAUAGCUAUACAAAGAGGAAUAAAAUGGUUACAAACAGUAUAUUCCGCAUUGACCAUUAGAGGGAUUACGGAGGACUUAUAUGCCAAAAUACGCGUGAACAAUAAGAAAUAGCUUAUUUUGAAUAAUACAAUGGACUGCUGGUACUCGUCAGCCUCUAAAUACAGAAAACUUAAGGAUGUACUUAGGUGAUGUUUUGGAAUUUGUGUCAAAUGUUCGGACUCCUUAGUGUUUUUCCAUAAAAUACAAUGUAAAAUAUUUUGCCCCA
RNAcentral lists this long non-coding RNA (17627 nucleotides) under Mytilus galloprovincialis (Mediterranean mussel). The record is from RNAcentral. Lineage: Eukaryota; Metazoa; Mollusca; Bivalvia; Mytilida; Mytilidae.